Long non-coding RNA from Chinchilla lanigera (long-tailed chinchilla), 7881 nucleotides. RefSeq lists it as uncharacterized. Lineage: Eukaryota; Metazoa; Chordata; Mammalia; Rodentia; Chinchillidae. The transcript is spliced from 4 exons. The record is from RefSeq and is a predicted model, not a curated record.
CUUAAGUAUUUUAUUUUUUGAGGCUAUUGUGAAGGACACUGUUUUCCUGGUUUCUUUCUCUCUCAGCUGUCCUGCAGAAUCCUGUUCUUCCUUCUCAUUAUAUGAUGUGAGUGGUCUAUCUGUUUGGGGCAAGAGGAUGACAUUGAGAGGUGGGUUCUGGUGGUGACUGUCUGUCCACUGUCACCAUGGAUCAGGGUGUUUGGGGCUGGCCUAAUCCUUGAGAAGCCAGUUACAUAGAAUGAUUAGCCCUACGUAAGCUUUGGAGGCAAAGCACACCCAGGUUUGAAUUGUGGCUUUAUCUAGUGCUUACCAGUUGUAGGACACUGGUAUGGUAUUUCCCCCUUCUAGACUGGGUUUCUUUGUCCAUAAAGACACUGGCAUUAGUGCCCACCUCAUAGGAUUGUUAGAACUAAAGGGCCUAAUGCACAAGAACACCUCUCCAACACUAGGCACUUGAAAAUGAUGAGUGGAGAAUUUAUUGUAGUAAGUGGAGUGAAAGUAGCUCCACUACCAUGUAUGACAAAGCAAAAAUGAGUGUGUUAGGGCACGACAGGGUCGAGGUUAACCAGAGUCCCUUGAAGAGGCCAACAAAGCUCAGGACUGUGCAUUCAAAGGACUUUAUCUGUGCACACGUGUGUGUGCACGUGUGUGCGCUUGUGUUUUAAAUCACAUAUCUAUUACACGUAACAGAUACACUUUCUCUAGCAAUAAUCUUGUUUUUUUCAAAAGGCAAUAAUACUAAAGAUUAAGACACAUUUUGAAACAGUGAAUUCCUAGCAUGACCAUCUUUUCCAAAGCAAAGCCUUCUUUUUCAGGAAGAAUCACAUCGGCCAUCACCACGAGCGAGCACAAACACCUACACACCCACAGACACGGAGACCAGGGCGGGGGAAGAGUGAUGUGUUUCCAUAGUGGGGAAAACAUCUCACAGAGACAGUGGGAAGCAGUAAUCAAUUCUGGUUUUAUGUGUCACAUACAUAAAUAAAUAAAGUGCUAUCAAAUGCUUAAAAUGGGCCUGCUCUGAUUUACAAUCCAUCAAAUUCUGCUAUCAAAACAUUUAGAGAGGCUGUGAGACUAGAGGGAUUUGUUAUAUCGACAUUUCCUGGUGUAACCUUUCCGUUUCCCUUCUUUCUGGGAUUUGCGCACACUCCAUCUUCCUGGGGCUACAUGAGGGGCAUGAUUUCUCUGCUGCCCAGGCAUGGAUCAGAGCGAGACAGGGCUUUUCAGCAGCUGUUAGACUGUGUCUGUUAGAUCUCUUUCUCUCUCGCACUCCAAGCCCCACCCUCUGUGUCCCCAUACGCAUGGCUUUCUCCUGAACCCUUUCAUCUGUACUUGAAGAGUCUCCAAUUCAUCUCAAAGCCUUGGACAAAGGAUGACGUUUCCUCUUAUUUUUGGGCAGAAAGUCUACCCGAAAGCCAUCUAAGCGCAUCUUUGCAUCUCUCCACCUGGGACUUGGGGUGUAGGAGGCUGAAAAAUGCCCCCAGCCCAGGACAGCCAGGCCCUAACCUCUGGAACAAGGGAAUGUUCCUUGUAUGGCACAGGGAACUCUGACAUGGUGACUAAGUGCUAGACAUGGAGAGGCCACACUGGACUGUCCAGCUGAGCCCGACAUGUGACCACAAUGUCCCUGUAAGCAGAGGCAGAGAAGAUGGGGCCACAGAGGAGAAGGAGGUGUGGUGAUGGGAAAGUCAGGCGCCUGAAGUGCUCAGAGACGGAGCGAGGUACCACUUGCUGAGGAACUCAGGUGGCCACAAGCAGCAGGAAGAGGCAAGGACAAGACUUCCCUGGAGCCCGGGGAGUCCGACUGUCAAUUUCUGAUCCCCAGAGCGGUAAGAGAAUAAAUUAGUGGUGUUUUCAGCCACUGAAUCUGUGGCAAUUUGUUCCAGCAGCCACCGGAAGUGACACAGUGGGCAAGCUGAUCUUACAUGGCAGACUGGCACCACCCACCUUGGGGAGGGCCUCCUCUAGGCAGAAGCAGAGGCCUAGUUCCCCCUGGCCCUGGUGCCACUGAGGUGCUGCCCUUGGGACUCAGCACAGCCUGAGCUUUGGUGCUGGCGCCCAGCCUGUGAGGCAGGUAUGCAAAGGCUUUGCCCUGGUGGGGUGAGGACUGCCUGUGGGCUACAGUAGGGGGACAGUCCUCAGAGAAAGGCGCAUACCUGCUGCCCACAUUGUUUCCUCUACCCCAAAACAGGCUCCAGACUUAUCUAUCCUCACUUCGCGAUGACUUUGGUCCAGAGCCCAUCUUUUCUCCUCUGGGCCUCUCGCCUGCUUUCUCUUGGGCUCUGGCUCACAUGCCACUCCUGUUUAGUCAUUCACUCUCAGAGAGAUCUCUGGAGAUCUGAGAUCAGGUCUGCUAAAGACCCUGGUGCCUAGGCCACACCUCAGACCAAUCCUCUUAGAACCUCAGGUCUGGGGCCCGGCGUCCACCUUUCUGAAAUUCCUCCAGAGAUGCUGAUGGCGGCUGGGGGUGGGGACCCCCGCCGGAAGCCUCCUGCAUUGCAGUGAGGAAGGCCUGUGCUCCACUCUGGGAGCUGGCGGGCCGCCUCUUGAGGCUCUUGGCGCUGGGCCAGUUUCUAAGCUAGCCUCACAAAUAUUUUCCUUCUCAUUUCCUAGACCGAAUGAGGGGGUGGGCAUGACGGCACCACCUGCUUUCUCCACUGCCCUUGUCCCACCUCCUUCAUUCCUGUUUUAAAAGAUCAUACACAGGACGAGUGUCACUGUGAUUUGAAGGUGUCCCCACAAAGUCCCUGGGCUGGACACUUGAUCCCUAUAUUCCUGCGUGAAUGGCACUUGGAAGUGGGACUCUGGGAAGUGCUUAGCAUCAGGUGAGGCCCCACGAUGCCAUCAGUGGCUUUAGAGAGGCAGAGCGUCCUGGGCUGGCACACUCCCCACCUCACCACAUGGGGGGCCUCUGCCAUGUUAUGACGCAGCAAGGGCGCCUUGCCAGAAGCCAGAACCAUGGACGACAAGAAAUAAAUUAAUUCCUAGUCUCAUUUGUUCAGUUGUAGCAACAGAAAAUGAACAAAGACGAGUGUCCUGUGGAAGGUCACUGACCUACAGUAGGUCGGUCUCCGGGCCUACGGCUAACGGAGGGAGACAGGAAGUGAAAGAGGAAGCCUGAGGUGCAGACUCUAGCUCCUCCAAUGCAGCCAGCAGUGUGCCACUCCUGCAUCGGCACCCAUGGCUGCUGGAGGCUAUGGGCACCAAGCUCUGCGCAUGACUGCACCCAGACACUACGAAACAGCUUCAGAUAAGUGCCUGAAAACCUAGAGAACAAUGGGUCGCAGUGUAAACCUGGGCCUGGUCUUGCCCAGCCCACCCGCUGAACAAGUGGGGAAGUGGAGGACUGUGAGGUGUCACUGCCCAGAAAAGAUACACAGGUGGGGGGUGGGUCCCGGCAGGUGGCCUUUGGCAGCCCACUGGGAGGCAUUCCCCACCUGAACCUGGGCUGAAGUCCAGGCCGGGUACCUGUGGUUACACCAGGUCAGCUCUGGGCUGAGGGUGACAGUUUGGUUGACCUUCCCAGAGUGCUGUCUUGGUGGGUAGACCAGGACUAGGUGCACAGGUGCACCGGCCACAGUGCCCACUUUGGGAGGGCUCUUGAUCACGUACUUGGCCUGCAUCAGAAAGCAGGAAAAGCUGUUUGUGUGAUCACUUUCAUCACGAAGGCAAAAUUCUGCCUGAGCCUCUGCAGUGUGGAAAGGUUCUAGACAGACGUGACUUUAAUUUACACUUGGAAAGAAACCUUAGGGGCUGCCCACUUUCCCCAAAGGCCUCCUUCACAUCUCUAAGUAAUUUUGAACCCUGAUGCUCUUUUGCAGAAAAUCGUGGUCUGCUGGUUCCUUCCAACAGUCCUCCCCUCUCCUCUACACCAACACAACAGCAGCAGUGCAAAGCGAAGAAGCGUCCCUCAGGUCCCAGCUGAGCAAUACAGUCCACAGGACAGUUCUACUGGCAUCCACUUGUGUCAGUCUCAUAGGCCGGAGAGAACAGCAGGAAAUAUUAGAACCUGUUUUCCCAGGAGGCCAUGAAGGCUGCCCAGAGGUUUCCUUCAGGGAUGCAGCUCAGAGCCACCAUUACUCCAGCUUUCUGCUGGUACCUUCUGGUUUGUACAAACAGGUUCUGGGCUGCCCAUCCCCACUUCCUGCCAGGGACCCGGCUCUCUCCACCCAGCAGAGGCCUGGAACUGGCCCAGCUGAGGCCCUGCCUUUUCAUUUUGCACUGGGCCCACGAACCACGGGGUCCGCCUUGCCUACCCACUUUCACAGUGCACUGAGGAGCUGUGAAGAGCUGCUGAACAUGUGACCCCCACCAGACAGACUGAAUCUCCACAAGGCCGGCCAGCUCCCUUACCCUUCAACUUCUGCACCCUCUUCCAGGACAGCCAGGUCCUGCAGCACCCAGCGCAGACUGAGCCCACCAUACGUCUUUGCUCAGCUGAAUCCUUCUAGAAGGGGACUCCCAGCCCCCCACCUGUCCCGGCCACGUGGGAGUCCAUGGAGACCUUGGGUUUGCAGCUUAGCCACAGGGGGUCUGUGCCAGGCUGCAGGCUGUGCAUUCUGCUCUGCUUUCUCAUAAAACGUUUUCUUCACAUAGUGUGGGCCCGGGGCUCCUAGACAGGCAGAACACAAACCCAAGGGCCAUGGAGCUAUGCAUUAUUUCUGCUGGGGCGCAUUUUUGCAUUUAGGAAUCUGAGUUUUUGGUAACUUAAUGCCAGGAGUGGAAGGUAAACAGAUUCUUCUUAUUGCAACCCUCUGUGUCCAGCUGUUCUGGGAAGGUUUUUCAAAAGGGAAGAAAGUGACUAACUUAGCCUGGCAGCUCUCAAUGCUGGUGCCUUUGUCCUUCAGGGGUCAUGUGGCACUAUCAGGAGACACCUGUGGUUAUCACAAGGGGGCUGUAUGGGUCUACCGGUGUUCAGUGGGCAGAUGCCAGGACCCUGCUCUACGUCCCACAACACAAGGAGAACCCAGCAGCAAGCAGCCAGCCCGCCCGCACCCAACAGUACUGAAGCUGAGAAAUCCGCGCACGAAGCAGCCCUGCAUCUGCAUGCACAGGGUGUUUGUGGAGGAAGCAUCGCUCAACAAUUAAAUUACUUUUUAUGAGAUUUUACUCCCUGAGAGCAGCAUAGAUCACUGGGGAGAAAUGAAAGAGAACAUUUUGUGCCGCAGCAAGACCAUUUUAGUUCAGAAGCACAUUCAGAAACAAGGCUUUGAGGUAAAGGUCUAGGGCUUUUCCCCACAAACCCAGUGGGGAAACUUAUUAAAGUACAGAUUCCUAGGCCUCUCUUCACACCCACUGAGCAGACGCUCUUGGGGAGAGUGGUGGGGUCUGCAUUUUUAGGACACCCCCCAAGUGAUCUGGACAUACACUGACAUUUUCUUCCACUUCCCAAAAGUAGGGUGGGGCAGAUGGGCCAUAUGCAGAGUGGUUUUUAAGAAGUUGCACAUUCUAGCACGGCUCUCCAACUUGAUCAUCGGCACUGCCGCAUCAUGAGCUGCCCUAGACAGGGACCCUGGCUGCUCUGCUUAGGAGUUCACGAAGCCACCCAGUGAGCUGCAGCGUCUCUCUAAAAAACAGCAAUACCCACGAAGACCUAGGUUUGACAGCCAGUUACAUUUUCUUCUCACUCCUCAGAACACAAAGUAUGAAAGUAAACAACACCGCCUGUGUCACCCAAGACGACAAAGAGCGCAUGUGGGAAGCUGCAUGGCAGCGGAGCAGCCGCAGCCCAUUCGGGGAACUUCUCAGCCAGCAACUGCACUCUCUACCAUGCAGACGCCUGGGCUCUGCAGGUGGAGUCUGAACCUUCCUUGCAAGCGCAGGCUUGCCUGCCAAUCGCUUUGUGGAGGAGCGAGAGUAGUCAGCAAGUACCACACACCGUUAGCUAUAAAUCCAAGUCUCCAUGGAAUCACAUGUAGCUGGGACAGGCCAGGUGGCUGUUGGGUCCCCGUCCAGGGGAAUGGGACUGAACCAGCAUGUGCAGUGGGCUAACUGUGCUGGGCCCUGCAGACGUGGUGAAGGCACAGAAACGAGUCAGACGGGUGCCCCCAAAGAGGCAGAAUGACAUAAUUAGCCCCGGGCCCACACUGACAGCCACCAGCUCCAACUGAUGAGCUUUUGUAAAGAACCAUCUUAAAUCAGGCACAGUGGUGCACAACUGUCAGUGUGGUGCACACCUGUCGUCCCAGCUCCUUGGGAGGCGAAGGCAGGAGGAUGGAAAGGUCAAGCCCCGCCUGAACAACUUUGCAAGGCACUGUCUUAAAAAAAAUGAACAGGGCCAGCCAUGUAGAUCAGAGCAAAAGCUCUGGGUUCAAUCCUCAGUUCUGCAAAAACCAAAAAGCCAGAACCAUCUUAAAUCCCACACUAGGACAAAACAAAGGACCAGCACAUUUUGCAUGGCACUGGCACUCAGAAGUUGGAACGGGUGUGAGAAGUACAAGUCUAUGAAGAAAUUGGCUUCCAUCCUCCUCCUCCCUCUCCUGCAACUCUUUCAGGUGGUGCUGCUGGCUGUGUCACAAAGGGACAAGCAUGACACACCAAAGGCUACAGAAACUCACAAUCUCUGCUAAGAGUCAGAAUAAGCGUGUGCAGUUUGUUUUUCCGUUCACAUUUUCCCAAAAGGCCAACCUUGACCUCACGUUGGUUUCCACUGGGCUCUGCACACAGCCUACCUUGCCACACACCUGGCCCAUGCAGCUGCCACCCGGCCCGAUGGGUGCGCGUGCAUUCACUAACACCGCUUUAUUUUUGUCUUUUCUCUCUGAUCCACAUUCAGCUGCCUGCAUAAUUCCCACCUCAGGUGCAACCUCUCAGAGUUACUUGUCUCCUACUUGAGAUACAUUGCUGUUCCGCACACAUCAGAAGAUUGGCCAGGGGGUGGGAGGUAUGAGUGUGGAACUGGGCCAGGAGGAGCUAGGACACUGCCCUCAGACCCAGGUACUACACACACAACAGAACACCAUGACAGUGUCUCUCUGUGGUAAAGACCUUGAGGGGGUGUUUCUGAGCAAGGCUAUAAACAGAUACACCUUUCCCUCCAGUCUCAAAGGGCUUGUGAUUUAGAAAGUGUCUCUCUGUGCAGCUGCCAGCCAUCCCUGUUUGGCUUGAGGUGGAAAGACAAGAUGGUGUAUAGACAUGUUUUGAGCACCUACUCAGGGCUCAAUAGGCUCUGGGUGUCGGCGGCGAAACCCUCGCUCUCCCUGAACAGGAGCACGGAGGAAAGGUGAGGGUGUGCUCCCGCAGGCAGAGAGAAGGAUGAGGAAGGGGGCGAGCACGGCUGGGUCAGAGGCUGCUGACUGCACCCCGACCCUGGACACCGGAUCUGUAGCAUCAUGAGAGCAUCCAGCGGGGAGUACUGGAUGAGUCGGUGAAGACGGCACUGCAACUGCACAGGCAAGGCCAGGGGCCGGUUCUGGUGACCUGGGACAGGCAGGGGCCCAAGGCCCAGCAAGGAGAGUGGACUCGGGGGCUGCCUGCUUGGGAGUGCAUGAAGGCUGGUCACUCUCUGGUGAGGCGACCGCGGCAGAUGGUUAGGCCGCUCUGUGCCUCAGUCUCCUUACCCAUAAAACGAUUGCAGUCACGAGUCCACCUCCCAGGCUUACUGCGGAGCUCUGCGGUUAACGCAGGUGAAUGUUAGGACCAUGCUGGGCACACAGCACCUACCGGCACUGGCUGCUGUUAUUUUCCUGUGGGGCCCACUGAGGUCUCUUACGGCUAUAUGAACUUGAAGCAAAAAAAUCUUACAGUGGGGAGUGUGUGGUGGAUGACGGUGGGAGAGGAAAUCAGAAGCAGAUAGACCGGGCUUAGUUGUGCCUCUGACCAUGGGAAUUCACCCCGGAAAGCUUCACUCCUUUCCCUCUCUCCUUCCCUUCUUUUCUUCCU